AUUGAACGCUGGCGGCAUGCUUUACACAUGCAAGUCGGACGGCAGCACAGAGACGCUUGCUUCUUGGGUGGCGAGUGGCGAACGGGUGAGUAACAUAUCGGAACGUACCGAGCAGUGGGGGAUAACUAAUCGAAAGAUUAGCUAAUACCGCAUAUCUUCUGAGGAAGAAAGCAGGGGACCAUUUGGCCUUGCGCUGUUUGAGCGGCCGAUAUCUGAUUAGCUAGUUGGUGGGGUAAAGGCCUACCAAGGCGACGAUCAGUAGCGGGUCUGAGAGGAUGAUCCGCCACACUGGGACUGAGACACGGCCCAGACUCCUACGGGAGGCAGCAGUGGGGAAUUUUGGACAAUGGGCGCAAGCCUGAUCCAGCCAUGCCGCGUGUCUGAAGAAGGCCUUCGGGUUGUAAAGGACUUUUGUCAGGGAAGAAAAGGGCGGGGUUAAUACCCCUGUCUGAUGACGGUACCUGAAGAAUAAGCACCGGCUAACUACGUG
RNAcentral lists this ribosomal RNA (490 nucleotides) under uncultured bacterium. Its description in RNAcentral is "partial 16S ribosomal RNA". It matches the Rfam family "Bacterial small subunit ribosomal RNA", at positions 30 to 507 of the family's 1533-position model. The record is from RNAcentral.